GUUACUUCUGGAUAUAUGCCCAGGAGCGGGAUUCCUGGGUCAUAUGGUAAGUCUAUUCCUAGUCUUUUGAGGAAUCUCCAUGCUGUUUUCCACAGUGGCUGCACCAAACUGCAUUUUUAAUUGCUUUCAUAUUUUCUGAUUCUAUUUCUGACAGUCUUAUAUUUCACCUGAUAAGCAUGUAUUUUACAAACUGAAAAAAUAAACUCCAAACAAAAUAAAACCCCAAAGAAUUAACACCAACAAUUGGACUUAAAUAAGGAAGGAAAUAGAAAAGGGAAAUAUGAAGUGGGCCCUCUGUGCACUGUGUGUGUGCGCACGCGCGUGUGUGUUUUAGGGGGAGUGGACAUCAUCCUGGAGGCCUGGGGUGAUGAGAUGCUCAGGCCUGGCCUCCCAGGACCUGCAUAGAGCGCAUCCAACUCUCAUCACAGAUCCCCUGCGGGGAUUCAGGACACAGGAAGUGAGAGGAGAGUGACCUAGAGCCGCAUCCUUGGGGUUCCAGGCUGAACUGUGCCCCCCUCCCCAGAAGAUGGUGAAGCCCUAGCCCCAGGCCUGUGACAGGGCUUUAUUUAGAAACAGAGGCUUGGCUGAACAUCAUCAAAUUAGGAUGAGGUCGUGCAGGUGGGCCGCCAUCCAAUGUGACUGCAUCCUUAUAUACGGGGUUGGGGGGACAGGACAGGACUUGGACACAGAGGAAGGCCAUGUGAAGACAGGACACCAGAAGCUGGGAGAGAGGCCAGAGCAGAUUCUCCCUCACAGCCUCAGAGGGAACCAGCCCUGCCCACGCCUUGAUCUUGGCUUCUGGCCUCCAGAACCCUGAGGCGGUAUUUCCGUUUUUUAAGCCCCUGACGUGUGGUACUUCAUCACAGCAGCCCCGAAAACCGAUGUGCUCUGCCUUCCAAGUCUUUUUCUCCCAUGUGUCCAUGAGGUGCUAAGUGAAGCCCGGUCCCUGGCACUGACCCGGGUGAUGCUGUGUUUAUCUCUCCCUCCUCCCCCCUCGCCUGGCUUCUGCUCCCUCCUCCCCCGUUAUUUUACUGGCAGUUCAGGAAGUGAGAGCUUAUACAGACAGAAGGCUUUGCUUUCAUUCAUGGACCGGGCCACGGAAUUCCUCUGGUUCUCCUUGAAGUCAGGGAAGCCCGAUGAGUGAGGUGGGGCCGGUGACGCUGGAUGUGGCAGAAGGUGGCAAAGCGUAGAGGCCGCACCUGGAGGCAGCGGUCCCCCUCGGCCCCGCCGGUGGCUGGCCAGCGGGGCGGGUCUGCUGAUGAACGCAGACAAAGGCUUGUACAGUUCUUUCAUCCCGUUUCCCUUGUAUUUUCAACUGACACCUGUUUUUCUCUCUUUCAGUAUACUCCCCAAGUCCAGAACCGCUUUGGCUAAUCACAAAAGCAGUCUGCCUAGGAAACAGGGUUAAACUGUCCUUCAGACCUGAAGGAAGUUCCCCGAGAGAAGUAACAGGACUGAACUCAUCUCAUUAAGGCAGUCUGUCUGUCCGUCCACACCCGCCUGCCUCUUUCAUUCUGAAGGAUCCAGGAAGAUGUCUUCCCAGCUCCACUCAGAUCCAACAUCUCCUCUUCGCAAUCACCCAGUCAGUGUUCCAUCCCAACCUAGUACCUAAUGAAACGAUUUUGUUGAGAAUUGGCCAUUUACUCAACUGACCUUUUCCACACAAAUCUUGUUAUAAAGUUAGCCUUUUGUAUCAACAGCUUUUUAUUUAUUUAGGGGAAAAAAUGUUGGUGUUGAGAUCUGAUGAUUACAUUAGUGUGUUAUCAGCUCAGAUCAUCAAUAAACAGCUCUGUGGUUGAUACGCCUGGCGAUUGGAAGCAUAUUAAAUAUAUAAAUGGUCUCAUUUUAUGCAGCUGAUUCAGUGAAAGGAGAGUGGUAGGUGAGGACAGCGGAUUUUUUUUAAGUUUAAAAAAAGUGGGCUAGAACUAUGCAUGCCUCGUUUAUUUUGAGUAACAAUCCAUCUUUGUAUCUUAAAUCUAAGUGUGUGUAUACAUAUAAAUACAUACUCAUAGUAGAGGAUAUGUGUCUGAUCCUUUCUGUAAAAAGUGACCUUAUAUUUUAGAGAGCUUAACCGCUCACAAUUUCAAAUAGACGCAUUAAAGACACAGCAAAUUUAGGAAUACAGAUGUGAUGCUGAGUUGUAGGAACAGAUGCUUGCCUUAGAGCAAGGCGUCUGAGCUGUUGACAUGGUUUAUAAAUAAAUUAAUUCUCAGCUAAGGUGCCCAUUUGUUUUUGCCAGCAUUGAAUUUCACUUGUGACUUAAGUUACGGCUUUCAAAUUAGGUUACAAGUUUGACUUGGGUGUCUUGUAACUUUGUAAGAUGACUGUGCGUGCUGUGCAGAGUGGGCUGGGUGUUACCCAGGAAGGAAGCAGGGCGAGCCACUAGGGUGCAGAGAGGACACCUCAGAGCUUCCAGGUUAUGUUCCGUGUGGAUGUUUUGCACUGCCCAGAAGGUUGGGAGCACGAGUUAGAAAGGAGGCCCGCUUUGGCGACCACGUAACCUGACACUGGUUCUUAGGGUGGGGGGAGGGGCUUGGGAGUUGGGGGGCUCAGCACACUGGUGGAGCCCUCCCCCCGCUGCCUCUUCCUCCUGUGUGGCUCCUGUUGGCCCCAGAGGGUCUUGGGGUGACCAGUCUUCCCAGUUUGCCUCCAGCUGAUGGGGUUCCCAGGAUAUGGGAUUUCCAGCCUUAAAAUCGGGACUGCCCCAGGCAGACUGACAGGUGGGGCACCUUAGCGGUCCGAGUGGGGCAGGUGCCCCGGCCUAAGUCAUCCCCAGAACUAGGAAAGCAGCUAAUGUUCGUGUCCUUCUCCUUGUGGGCAACGCGGAUUAUAGUGAUGUCCGCUCCCAGGCAUUAGUUUUGUACUUAACCUUCCUUUUAUCCUAAGAAUUCACCACUUCUUGUUUCCAAAGGAGCGUUUUUUUGACAGACAUUCUAAUGGGACAUUUAGUUGGAAUGUUCUCAGCGAACAAA
Molecule: long non-coding RNA, 2972 nt
Organism: Camelus dromedarius (Arabian camel)
Lineage: Eukaryota; Metazoa; Chordata; Mammalia; Artiodactyla; Camelidae
Exons: 2
Source: RefSeq, a predicted model, not a curated record